This is a long non-coding RNA of Mirounga angustirostris (Northern elephant seal), 623 nucleotides long. RefSeq lists it as uncharacterized. The transcript has 3 exons. The record is from RefSeq and is a predicted model, not a curated record. NCBI's taxonomy places the organism in Eukaryota, Metazoa, Chordata, Mammalia, Carnivora, Phocidae.
ACCUGGAAGUCAAGGUGGGAAAUAAACAAAACAAAUGAGGGCAUGAGACGGACAGUGGUUACAGUGAAGAGCCUAUUGAAACAAUUCAGUUUCCCAAGGUGUGUUUCCUUUGCCUGGUUAUCGAGUUACCCCAUGUGGAUUUUGAGAUUCAUAGCCUCUUAUGUGAAUGAAUGGCUGUCAUCCAGAGAUAUAAAAUAUCAAGACGUCUGUUCAAAGACCACACUUGGACUGGUAAGAGUGCUACAGUUGCCUGUGUGAACCUCAAGAGCUGGAGCAUUCUGGAGCAAAUUCACAAACAGAGGAGUGUCAUAUGAAUAUCGCCUAAACCAUUUGUAACAUGGGAUUUUCCAAAGAUGGGAUCAUAAACUCCAGAAGAUAUAUGUCAGCUGUCACUCCUAUCUUUUGUUCCCUACAUUGUGCAUUUUUAAUAUAAACAAAAUAUUUUCCUCAGAGGUGACUGGGUAAUUGUUUUGGUGGUUACAUAAUUUUAUAUCUUAGUUAUGAAAUAUUUAUGCAUGCAACUCAAGUUAUCUGUUAUAAAAGGAAACUAUUUAACCAUAGUGGACUAAUGGUACAUAGGGAAAAUGGGUGUCAAAAGGAAAUUUAUUAUAUCUUCCAAGUAC